GUCCUACCUCUCUUUCAAAUCUUACCUGAAACUGAAAGCAUAGCUUCCUCCAAGAUAAAAGGGCCGGAGCACUGCCUCCUCGAAAGGCACCGGGACCGAACCACUGAGGAUCCACAGGAAGUCAGUUAUUUUUGAACUUGGAGAUGACAUCUCUUCUAGCCAUAGCAGUUCAGUUUUUGAUCCUAACUCCGUGGAGGAUACAACAGGUGACCAGCUGGAUAUUGUCAACCCAGUCAUCUCAGCUGGACAUGGCUGACAAUGCAUUUGAUGAUCAGUAUGAGGGCUGUACUAAAGAAAUGGAGAAAAAGGCACCCCAGCUGUUAAAAGAAGAAAUGCGAAUGAAUGGACUUUUAAGGAGUGAAUGGGAAAAGGCAGAAGAAUACUGGAAGCAAAACAUGAAGAAGAGAAUAAACUAUCCAAAACAAUUCAAUGAUUUCCACGGAACAGCUCUAGUGGCCUAUACGGGGGACAUUGCAGUAGAAUUUAACAGAGCUGUAAGAGAAUUCCGUCAAAAUUCACUUAACUUUCACUUCAAAGCCUUCCAUUAUUAUUUGACAAGAGCACUUCAGCUUCUCUCUACAACGGAGUGUUACACUGUUUAUAGAGGUUCUAAGACCAAGUUUUAUCACAGUAAGAGAGGAAGUGUACGUUUUGGGCAAUUUACCUCAUCAUCUUUGGAUAGAACUGUAGCUACGAGAGACUAUCUUGGAGCAGGUGGGACACUGUUUACCAUCAGAACCUGCUCGGGUGUUGAUAUUCAAGCAUUCUCUACGAAACCACAUGAAAAGGAGGUGCUAAUUCCAGGGUAUGAGGUGUAUCAGAAAGUCACCGUACAAGGCACAAAUGAAAAAAGGAAUGAAAUUUUACUUGAAAGUCCAAAAAAAAUGAAGAGUACCUUCAACUGCUUCCAUAUUUCCACUGGCAAUACAAGAGUGGGAGACAACAACUUCGCCAGGUCAGGAAGGAGAGGAAGCCCUGAGUUCCUUCUGCUGCUUCCUGGCCUCCUCGCCUCGCUGCUCCUCCCUGUGGAGCUGUAACCACCCCUGCCUGGUGCCUGGUUCUGCGUGGGGUUUGUGAAGAGGGGUGUCAGAGGGAGGCAAAAGGGAAGGGAGCUUAAUGGCUUGCCAGCACUGGCAGUGUUGGGAAGGGUGCAACAUAGAUCAUUUGGGUGACCUCCAUUAGCGCUCAUGUCUUCCAAGACAUCUGAGGGAGCUACUGGGUCUGUCUGCAAAAGGAUGCUCUGUCUUCAAAUUUACUGCCUGAGAUAAGUCCCUGUUCUUCUUGACACUUUGCUAUGAUUAAAAAGCCAUAUUUUUAUGCACUGUCAGCAGUAACAGUCUUAAAAAUGCAAUUUAAUUGUGAUGUUAUAAUCUAAAAAAAUGAACCGUUUGUAAUCACA
This is a long non-coding RNA of Equus caballus (horse), 1399 nucleotides long. RefSeq annotates it as T-cell ecto-ADP-ribosyltransferase 2. NCBI's taxonomy places the organism in Eukaryota, Metazoa, Chordata, Mammalia, Perissodactyla, Equidae. The record is from RefSeq and is a predicted model, not a curated record.